RNAcentral lists this ribosomal RNA (454 nucleotides) under uncultured bacterium. Its description in RNAcentral is "partial 16S ribosomal RNA". It matches the Rfam family "Bacterial small subunit ribosomal RNA", at positions 28 to 507 of the family's 1533-position model. The record is from RNAcentral.
GAUGAACGCUGGCGGAAUGCUUAACACAUGCAAGUCGACCUGAACUUCGGUUGGGGUGGCGGACGGGUGAGUGAGGCGUACAGAACUUGCCUCACAGCAAGGGACACCAUUUGGACACGAAUGCUAACACCUGAUAUGAUGAUCAUAUGGCAUCUAUUAAUUAUGAAAGCUAUCUGCGCUGUGAGAGAGCUUUGCGUCCCAUUAGCUAGUUGGAGAGGUAACAGCUCACCAAGGCGAUGAUGGGUAGCCGGCCUGGGAGGGUGACACGCCACAGAGGGACGGGGACGCGGCCCGUACGCAUACGGGAGGAAGGGGCGGAAAAUAUAGGAAGAUGGACCGCGAGUGUGAUGCAGCAAUUCGGUGUGCACAAUUAAGUUUUUCGGAAUGAAAAGUGCUUUCAGUAGGGAAGAAAAAAAUGACGGUACCAACAGAAGAAGUGACGGCUAACUACGUG